ACGCCAUUCUGCCUCAAGCUUCCUAGUAGCUGGAGCUACAGGCGUCCGCCACCACGCCCGGCUAAAUUUUGUAUUUUUAGUGGAGACGGGGUUUCACUGUGUUAGCCAGGACGAUCUGGAUCUCCUGAUCUCGUGAUCUGCCCGCCUCGUCCUCUCAAAGUACUGGCAUUUACAGGCGUGAGCCACUGUGCCCGCCAACAUUUUUAAGUUCUACGCAUAAGCGAGAAAAUGUGAUUUUUGUCUUCUGUGUCUGGCUUCUUUUAUUAAACAUAAUGUCCUCCAGGGGCAUUCAUGUUGUCACAGAUGAUAGAAUUUCCUGGGUUUUUAAAGGAUAAAUAGUAUGUCAUUGUGUAUAUAUAUGCUACAUUUUUCUUAUCCAUUCAUCCAUUGAUGGACGCUUAGUUGAUGCCAUGUUUUGAGUGUCAUGAAUAAUACUGCCAUGAACAGCAGGAGUGCAGAUAUCUUUUUGACAUACGAAUUUCAUUUUUAAAUUUUUUUGGCUAUGUAUCCAGUAAUAGCGGAAUUGUUGGAUCCUAUGAAGGAGCCAGAGCCAGAUAGAAACAGGAGUGAGAAAGGUAGAAGAUGAAUGAUUGAGGAUGAAAACUCCUUCGAGAUUUUAUUUGACCAACAUCAAUUCAAUGAAAGCUGUGAUUAAGAGGUUUCACAUGGAUGGAGCUGGAAGCCAUUAUCCUCAGCAAACUAACACAGGAACAGAAAACCAAAUAGCACAUGUCUCACUUACAAGUGGGAGCUGAAGAAUGAGAACACAUGGACACAGGGCGGGGAAAAGCACACACCGGGGACUGUCAGAGGAGGGCAGGGGGAGGAAGAGCAUCAUGAUAAACAGCUAAUGCGUGCAUGGCUUAAUACCUAGGGGAUGUGUUGAUAGGUGCAGUCAACCACCAUGGCACACGUUUACCUAUGUAACAAACCUGCACAUCCUGCACAUGUGCCCCGAACUUAAAUUUAAUUAAAAAA
Long non-coding RNA from Symphalangus syndactylus (siamang), 978 nucleotides. RefSeq lists it as uncharacterized. Lineage: Eukaryota; Metazoa; Chordata; Mammalia; Primates; Hylobatidae. The record is from RefSeq and is a predicted model, not a curated record.